CACAUGCAAGUCGAGCGCCCCGCAAGGGGAGCGGCAGACGGGUGAGUAACGCGUGGGAACGUACCCCCCGGUUCGGAAUAACUCAGGGAAACUUGAGCUAAUACCGGAUACGGCUGAGAGGCGAAAGAUUUAUCGCCGGGGGAUCGGCCCGCGUCCGAUUAGCUAGUUGGUGUGGUAAUGGCGCACCAAGGCGACGAUCGGUAGCUGGUCUGAGAGGAUGAUCAGCCACAUUGGGACUGAGACACGGCCCAAACUCCUACGGGAGGCAGCAGUGGGGAAUAUUGGACAAUGGGCGAAAGCCUGAUCCAGCCAUGCCGCGUGAGUGAUGAAGGCCUUAGGGUUGUAAAGCUCUUUCACCCACGACGAUAAUGACGGUAGUGGGAGAAGAAGCCCCGGCUAACUUCGUGCCAGCAGCCGCGGUAAUACGAAGGGGGCUAGCGUUGUUCGGAAUUACUGGGCGUAAAGCGCGUGUAGGCGGGUCCUUAAGUCAGGGGUGAAAUGCCAAGGCUCAACCUUGGAACUGCCUUUGAUACUGGGGAUCUUGAGUCCGGGAGAGGUGAGUGGAACUGCGAGUGUAGAGGUGAAAUUCGUAGAUAUUCGCAAGAACACCAGUGGCGAAGGUGGCUCACUGGCCCGGAACUGACGCUGAGACGCGAAAGCGUGGGGAGCAAACAGGAUUAGAUACCCUGGUAGUCCACGCUGUAAACGAUGGAUGCUAGCCGUUGGGGAGCUUGCUCUUCAGUGGCGCAGCUAACGCC
RNAcentral lists this ribosomal RNA (758 nucleotides) under uncultured Alphaproteobacteria bacterium. RNAcentral's name for it is "bacterial SSU rRNA". It matches the Rfam family "Bacterial small subunit ribosomal RNA", at positions 52 to 859 of the family's 1533-position model. Lineage: Bacteria; Pseudomonadati; Pseudomonadota; Alphaproteobacteria. The record is from RNAcentral.